GACGAACGCUGGCGGCGUGCUUAACACAUGCAAGUCGAACGCUGAAGCUCAGCUUGCUGGGUGGAUGAGUGGCGAACGGGUGAGUAACACGUGAGUAACCUGCCCUCUUCUUUGGGAUGACGCCCGGAAACGGGUGCUAAUACUGGAUAUUCACUGAUUCUCGCAUGGGGGUUGGUGGAAAGGUUUUUUCUGGUGGGGGAUGGGCUCGCGGCCUAUCAGCUUGUUGGUGGGGUGAUGGCCUACCAAGGCUUUGACGGGUAGCCGGCCUGAGAGGGUGACCGGUCACAUUGGGACUGAGAUACGGCCCAGACUCCUACGGGAGGCAGCAGUGGGGAAUAUUGCACAAUGGGCGAAAGCAUGAUGCAGCGACGCCGCGUGAGGGAUGGAGGCCUUCGGGGUGGAAACCUCUUUCGCUCAUGGUCAAGCCGCAGCUUUGGGUUGUGGUGAGGGUAGUGGGUAAAGAAGCGCCGGCUAACUACGUG
RNAcentral lists this ribosomal RNA (482 nucleotides) under uncultured bacterium. RNAcentral's name for it is "partial 16S ribosomal RNA". It matches the Rfam family "Bacterial small subunit ribosomal RNA", at positions 28 to 507 of the family's 1533-position model. The record is from RNAcentral.